This 501-nucleotide ribosomal RNA is filed under the name uncultured bacterium. Its description in RNAcentral is "bacterial SSU rRNA". It matches the Rfam family "Bacterial small subunit ribosomal RNA", at positions 28 to 533 of the family's 1533-position model. The record is from RNAcentral.
GACGAACGCUGGCGGCGUGCCUAACACAUGCAAGUCGAGCGGGGUUGAAGCGAGAGGUAACUCGAACUUCUACCUAGCGGCGGACGGGUGAGUAACGCGUGGGCAACCUGCCUCAAGGUCUGGGAUAACAGCCCGAAAGGGCUGCUAAUACUGGGUAUGCUUGUGGCCUCGCAUGGGGCUAUGAGCAAAGGGGAAACCCGCCUUGAGAUGGGCCCGCGUCCCAUCAGCUAGUUGGUGAGGUAACAGCUCACCAAGGCGACGACGGGUAGCCGGCCUGAGAGGGUGACCGGCCACACUGGGACUGAGACACGGCCCAGACUCCUACGGGGGGCAGCAGUGGGGGAUCUUGCACAAUGGGCGAAAGCCUGAUGCAGCGACGCCGCGUGAGCGAAGAAGGCCUCGGUUGUAAGCUCUGUCUGGAGGGACGGAAGGAAGUAGACGGUACCGUCCGGAGGAAGCCACGGCUAACUACGUGCCAGCAGCCGCGGUAAAGUGUGUGUA